RNAcentral lists this small RNA (563 nucleotides) under Histoplasma capsulatum var. duboisii H88. RNAcentral's name for it is "Histoplasma capsulatum H88 hypothetical RNA". The record is from RNAcentral. Lineage: Eukaryota; Fungi; Ascomycota; Eurotiomycetes; Onygenales; Ajellomycetaceae.
UAGAUGGAGUUAGAGGGUUGAAAAGGGUUGUGGAGGAGAUGAGGAGGGAGAGGGAGCAGGAGAAGGAGAAAGAAAAGGAAAGGGACAAAGAAAAAGAAAUGAAACACAGCGACGAUGACGACAACGAACCAUUCCGCUCCCCCUCCUUACCCCCCCUUCUUCAUGCUCCGCACAGCCAACGGCGCCAGAGACACAAUAUCCCAUCCACAAUCUCUGGCACGCCCACAAUGACCCACCUCCCCAGCUCAACGCCAACCCGCAGCUCCCUCCCACCACAAGCACCACACGAUGGCUACUCCGCCAUCCUCGUCCCAGACUCCAUGCCACCCGCACCCCCAUCACCACAUCCCGACCAAACCGCUGCCGCCCACUGCGAAUUCCAAACCUCUCCGCCACAACUCCCCCGCUCCCCCAUAGCUCAACCCCCAGGAAAAUUCGAAUACGCGAAUAUAGAAAAGGCAAAAGAAGAUGAAGUCCAGGCUCCGCAACAGGGGCCUGGCGAAACUCUUGAAUCGUAUAUGGAACGCUGUCGGGUGGUGUUAUCGCGAUGUCCACGGGGUGAA